GAGUUUGAUCCUGGCUCAGAUUGAACGCUGGCGGCGUGCUUAACACAUGCAAGUCGAGCGGUAACAGGCGUAGCAAUACGUGCUGACGAGCGGCGAACGGGUGAGUAAUGCUUCGGAAUCUUCCUCGUAGUGGGGAAUAACCUGGGGAAACUCAGGCUAAUACCGCAUACGAACUACGGUUGAAAGCAGGGGAUCGCAAGACCUUGCGCUAUGAGAUGAGCCGAAGUCGGAUUAGCUAGUUGGUGAGGUAACGGCUCACCAAGGCGACGAUCCGUAGCUGGUCUGAGAGGACGACCAGCCACACUGGGACUGAGACACGGACCAGACUCCUACGGGAGGCAGCAGUAGGGAAUAUUGGGCAAUGGAGGAAACUCUGACCCAGCCAUGCCGCGUGCAGGAUGAAUGCCCUCUGGGUUGUAAACUGCUUUUAUACGGGAAGAAAAAUAGCUACGGGUAGCACAUUGACGGUACCGUAAGAAUAAGGAUACGGCUAACUCCGUGCCAGCAGCC
Molecule: ribosomal RNA, 510 nt
Filed under: uncultured Gammaproteobacteria bacterium
Lineage: Bacteria; Pseudomonadati; Pseudomonadota; Gammaproteobacteria
Description: bacterial SSU rRNA
Rfam family: Bacterial small subunit ribosomal RNA
Source: RNAcentral